GUCUCUGUAGCUUAUAAAAAGCAUGACACUGAAGAUGUCAAGAUGGCUGCCAAACACACCCAGAGACA
Molecule: transfer RNA, 68 nt
Filed under: Horornis fortipes
Lineage: Eukaryota; Metazoa; Chordata; Aves; Passeriformes; Scotocercidae
Description: tRNA-Phe
Source: RNAcentral